This is a long non-coding RNA of Dreissena polymorpha, 258 nucleotides long. RefSeq lists it as uncharacterized. The record is from RefSeq and is a predicted model, not a curated record. NCBI's taxonomy places the organism in Eukaryota, Metazoa, Mollusca, Bivalvia, Myida, Dreissenidae. The transcript is spliced from 3 exons.
ACAAAGAGUCAGCAGGUACAGACGAAGUUAUAGCGGAGGCGAUGGCAAUAGUUAUUAACAGCCAGUCAGUUACAGAUGCAUUGCGACAGAGACGUUGUUAUCUACGUCUCUGAUUGCGAACACAGAAUUAAACAACAUUGGUCAUAAUCUUACAUACAAGAGAUCGGCAGAGCAGGAAGAAGCCAUGUUGAUGCCCUGGUCAUUCUCUUCUUUUACAAAUCAUUCAUUGCAUCUGCACAUAUGACCAGAGAAAUGAAG